RNAcentral lists this transfer RNA (68 nucleotides) under Pyronema omphalodes CBS 100304. RNAcentral's name for it is "tRNA-Thr". It matches the Rfam family "tRNA". From Rfam's summary of the family: Transfer RNA (tRNA) molecules are approximately 80 nucleotides in length. Lineage: Eukaryota; Fungi; Ascomycota; Pezizomycetes; Pezizales; Pyronemataceae. The record is from RNAcentral.
GCGCUAAUAGCUCAGUUGGGAGAGCGUCAGACUGCUGAAGGUCACCCGUUCAAUCCGGGUUUGGCGCA